This 230-nucleotide ribosomal RNA is filed under the name uncultured bacterium. RNAcentral's name for it is "partial 16S ribosomal RNA". It matches the Rfam family "Bacterial small subunit ribosomal RNA", at positions 568 to 797 of the family's 1533-position model. The record is from RNAcentral.
UGUGUAGGCGGAUUAAUAAGUCAGUGGUGAAAUCCUACAGCUUAACUGUAGAACUGCCAUUGAUACUGUUAACCUUGAGUAUAGUUGAGGUAGGCGGAAUGUGUUGUGUAGCGGUGAAAUGCUUAGAUAUAACACAGAACACCGAUUGCGAAGGCAGCUUACUAAACUAUUACUGACGCUGAGGCACGAAAGCGUGGGGAGCGAACAGGAUUAGAUACCCUGGUAGUCCC